UAUCUAUUUAAUUCUGGUUGUGGAAGAUUUUUGGGAUUGUGUCACAUAGAUGCUUUUUAGAACUGUGGCAGGAUGUGCGAAUGUGUCUUCGUUUUAGUGGCUAGACCUUGGGCUUUAGGGUAACCUAGAACAGGCUUCCCUUAUAAAAGCAGUGAAUUCUCAGUGCCAGCAUCUGCGGUUAUUCUGAUUGCUGUCUCUUCUUGUAGGUGUAAAUAGUUUAUAAAUAAAGGCAAUCUGUUGGGUAGAAUCUUGUGUUUGGUAGGCAAUUGUUUAUAAUUUUAUUAGGUUGGGCUUUGAUAAGAAAAGGAUUAGAGACCCUUGUAUUCGGUUUUUGACUUUUGUGCCGUAGUGUAAACUAAAAGAAUUUGGCAGCCGAUGAAAUUCGUCCGGGGGAGUGUGCAUUUUAAGAGAUAGUCCGCUUAUAAGUUUACCGCCCCUAUCUUUGUUAGUGUAUAUCCGGUUUAAGACUCAUAGCGAGUGUUAUUGAGUGUAAUAUUUUUAUUGAAGCCAGGUCGAUGUGCUGCUAAUGGGGCGGGAUUUGUGCACUACAAUUUAAAGGUGUUUUGUUGGGAAAUCUUAUUCAUAUUUAGGACUCGGAAGUAGGCAGGAAGUUUAUUGAUUAAUGGUGUCCUGUCGAAAGCUGAUUUAGUUGGGGUACACACCGCCCGUCACCCAAAGCGCUAGCUGUGGUAAGUCGUAACAUGGUAACAUUUGGGGAACCAUAUGUUAGUUGUUU
Molecule: ribosomal RNA, 736 nt
Filed under: Glypthelmins quieta
Lineage: Eukaryota; Metazoa; Platyhelminthes; Trematoda; Plagiorchiida; Plagiorchiidae
Description: 12S ribosomal RNA
Source: RNAcentral